CACCGGCAGCCCUAGUGGUGGCCGCUUUUAUUGGGCCUAAAGCGUCCGUAGCCGGACAGGCAAGUCUUUGGGUAAAUCCUACGUCUUAAGCGUGGGAAUUCUAAAGAUACUACCUGUCUUGAGGCCGGGAGAGGCUGGAGGUACUCCUGGGGUAGGGGUAAAAUCCUAUAAUCCUGGGGGGACCACCGAUGGCGAAGGCAUCCAGCUGGAACGGGCCUGACGGUGAGGGACGAAACCCAGGGGAGCGAGCCGGAUUAGAUACCCGGGUAGUCCUGGGCGUAAAUGAUGUGGGCUUGGUGUGAGCGCAUCGACGAGGUGCGCUUGUGCCGUAGGGAAGCCGUUAAGCCCACCGCCUGGGGAGUACGGUCGCAAGGCUGAA
This 379-nucleotide ribosomal RNA is filed under the name uncultured bacterium. Its description in RNAcentral is "bacterial SSU rRNA". It matches the Rfam family "Archaeal small subunit ribosomal RNA", at positions 474 to 853 of the family's 1478-position model. The record is from RNAcentral.